Molecule: ribosomal RNA, 497 nt
Filed under: uncultured bacterium
Lineage: Bacteria
Description: partial 16S ribosomal RNA
Rfam family: Bacterial small subunit ribosomal RNA
Source: RNAcentral
GAUGAACGCUGGCGGCGUGCCUAAUACAUGCAAGUCGAGCGAACAGACGAGGAGCUUGCUCCUCUGACGUUAGCGGCGGACGGGUGAGUAACACGUGGAUAACCUACCUAUAAGACUGGGAUAACUUCGGGAAACGGGAGCUAAUACCGGAUAAUAUAUUGAACCGCAUGGUUCAAUAGUGAAAGACGGUUUUGCUGUCACUUAUAGAUGGAUCCGCGCCGCAUUAGCUAGUUGGUAAGGUAACGGCUUACCAAGGCAACGAUGCGUGGCCGACCUGAGAGGGUGAUCGGCCACACUGGAACUGAGACACGGUCCAGACUCCUACGGGAGGCAGCAGUAGGGAAUCUUCCGCAAUGGGCGAAAGCCUGACGGAGCAACGCCGCGUGAAUGAUGAAGGUCUUCGGAUCGUAAAACUCUGUUAUUAGGGAAGAACAAAUGUGUAAGUAACUAUGCACGUCUUGACGGUACCUAAUCAGAAAGCCACGGCUAACUACGUG